Molecule: long non-coding RNA, 1115 nt
Filed under: Equus asinus (donkey)
Lineage: Eukaryota; Metazoa; Chordata; Mammalia; Perissodactyla; Equidae
Description: lncRNA (ENSEASG00005029683.1)
Source: RNAcentral
AUUCCAUUGUCUUCACUAGCAUUUUUUUAAACUCUUCCAGCACUUCCCAAACAAAUGGUUUGCUUGUUUAAAUAGGAACUUCCCUAAAGACUCUUCAGUUGUUCAAUGGAAAGCAUCAGGAGACAGUUCGCACCAUAAGAUUCUUUGAAUCCUUCUCCUCAAAAUCCUAGUCUUACUGCUUCCACCAAUGCUGGACUUUUGUAAACCCCUGCAUUGAAAGACCUGCCUUAAAUCAAACUUCCAAAUUCUCACUGACAAAGCCUUUCAAGAUGGUCUUCUCCUUUAGCGGCUAAUGAGAAACAGGCUGUCUGGAAAUGUGUCUCGGAGGAAAAUACGGAGCAGAUCUUUAGAAAAUAAAGCUCUCUAGAUUGAUUGAAAAGAUAACAUUUGGUAACACGUUGUAAGCAAAACAUAAUAUCAAGGUGAAAAGAAGGCAAAUCAGAUAUAAAAUUCACUUGGAUGUGUCAACUUGAACUUUGGACGGAGCAAGUAAAGAUAUUGCGAUUUUGGAAAAAAUGUAAUGAAGUAUGAUGGAAAAUUGUCAGGAAUUUAAAAAUGUUUUCCAUUUGAUUGCUGAAGAACAUGAGUUUUGAAGACAUCGCAUAUGGUAUGCAGGUUGUAGAUCCUGUAAAGAACUGGAGUAUAGAAAAAUAACUUUGUCAUCACCCUGGAAGGAUGCUACCACUGGUGCCACCACUACUACUAUUAUAAUUUCACAUUUUCAUAGCACUUUCUCUUUCCAUGGCUUCUAUUGCCCCCAAUAUGUUAUAAAAGAGAACCAGACCUUUCCUUGUGAGCUUUUGUAUGCUUGAUCUCAUUUGCACUUCACAGUUACUUGAUAAAGGUACAGCAGGUAAUAUCAACAAUAUUUCAGUGGCGGCUCUAAGAGGUUAAAUAAAUUACUUCAUCAGGAGUUCUAGGUUAGUAACAGAAAUCUGCUGAUUUCUACAUUUCUGAUCCAUAAAUGGCCAGUGGAUCCAAAUUUAUGGGCCUUGGACCUUCGGAGUUCUAUAGACUUAUUUCAAACAGGUUUAUAUCCAUACAUAUAUGUCUGUAAACUGAAUACAUAUCACAUUCAUAUCUUUAUGAGUAUUUUUCAAUGUGGUAGGUAAAAU